UACAGAGGGUGCGAGCGUUAAUCGGAAUUACUGGGCGUAAAGCGCGCGUAGGCGGCUUUGCAAGUCGGGUGUGAAAUCCCCAGGCUUAACCUGGGAACUGCAUUCGAGACUGCAUUGCUAGAGUAUGGGAGAGGGAAGUGGAAUUUCCGGUGUAGCGGUGAAAUGCGUAGAUAUCGGAAGGAACAUCAGUGGCGAAAGCGACUUCCUGGACCAAUACUGUCGCUCAUGUGCGAAAGCGUGGGGAGCAAACAGG
This 253-nucleotide ribosomal RNA is filed under the name uncultured bacterium. RNAcentral describes it as "partial 16S ribosomal RNA". It matches the Rfam family "Bacterial small subunit ribosomal RNA", at positions 524 to 776 of the family's 1533-position model. The record is from RNAcentral.